UACGGGGGGGGCAAGCGUUGUUCGGAAUUACUGGGCGUAAAGGGCGCGUAGGCGGCUCGCUAAGUCGGAUGUGAAAACUCUGGGCUCAACCCAGAGCCUGCAUUCGAAACUGACGAGCUGGAGUUCUGGAGGGGAAAGCGGAAUUCCUGGUGUAGCGGUGAAAUGCGUAGAUAUCAGGAGGAACACCGAUGGCGAAGGCAGGUCUCUGGGCAUUAACUGACGCUGAGGAGCGAAAGCAUGGGGAGCGAACAGG
This 253-nucleotide ribosomal RNA is filed under the name uncultured bacterium. RNAcentral describes it as "partial 16S ribosomal RNA". It matches the Rfam family "Bacterial small subunit ribosomal RNA", at positions 524 to 776 of the family's 1533-position model. The record is from RNAcentral.